Long non-coding RNA from Homo sapiens (human), 4227 nucleotides. RefSeq lists it as uncharacterized. The transcript has 3 exons. The record is from RefSeq and is a predicted model, not a curated record. Lineage: Eukaryota; Metazoa; Chordata; Mammalia; Primates; Hominidae.
AUUUACCUACGUAGUUUCAAUUUCUGGUGUUUUUCAUUCCUUUCUGUGGAUCUGGAAUCCCAUUUGGUAUCAUUUUCAUCUGUCUUAAUGUCUUUGGCAGUUUUUUUGUGACUAGGAGGGGUGUGGCAAAACAUUCAUCAGGAACUACCAUCUGUCCCUAGAUCUUGAUUCACACCGAAGAAAAGCCAUCUCUACAACUAUUGGCUGUGGUCAAAAAUGCCAACGUCUUUGGCAUUUCAGAUUUAUCUUCUUAAAGAGACAAGAAUACUAAGUUCCACAUGGACUCGCCAUCCUCAAAUCGCUGGCUGCGUACUUUCUCCAUGCAGUAAGCUGGGCCAACAUAUGACUCACUUUGUUCAAUUAUUUUCUCUCUCAGAUCACUAACCUUAAUUGUCUGAUAACCUAUGUCUUAACAACUAUGGUUUCACAUGUGGUAAUGGUUUUAUUGUUAUUUUGGGGUAAAGGAUAAAUCUAGUCCUAUUAUUGUAUCUUAGCUAAAAACAUUUUAAAAGUUUUUAAUUUAAGUUUUAAUUAAUUUAAGUUCAUCUGUCUCUUAUCUUUUAUUAUUUAUAAAUAUUGUGUCCUAUCAAAAAAUAUUUGCUUCCUACAAAUAUUUCUGCUCAAUUUUUUAAUAUAUUUUUUGUAGUUGUAACCCUUACACUUAGAUCCAUUAUUUAUACUGAUUUAGUUUUGUGUAUAGAAUUUGGUAACAUGUAGGUUCAUUUUUAUGCAUUUAGAUAUUUAAUAGUUUCAUCAAAAUGUCUUGAAAGUUCAUCCUUUAUGCAUUGAAUUACCUUGGUAGUUUUAUGAAAAAUUAAUUUACCCUAUGUGUGUUUUUCUAUUUUGGCCUUCCUAUUAUUUUAUACUAGUCUAUAUUUCUACCAUUAUAUCAAUACCACACUGCUUUUGUUGAUAUAGCUUUGCAAUAAGUCUUGAAAUCAGGUAAUUUUAAUUAUCCAACAUCGUUUUUCUAUAAAGUUUAAGAGAGGCUUGCUGAUUUCCAUUUUGGUUUAGAUGACUUUAAAAUUGUAAAUAAAUUUAGAGAGAUUUGAAAUCUUUACAAUAUUGGGUCUUCUGAUCCAUAAUGAUACUACUGUUCUUAAUUCACUUAGGUCUUCCAUAAUUUCCCUUAGCAAUAUUUCAUACUUUUCAUUGUGCAAAACUUGCACACUUCCUGUUAAAUAUAUCCCUAAAAAUUUCUUAAAUUUGAUACUGCUGUGUGGAAGUUGGUUUUCAUUCAUUUAAAUAUUCAUUUGUUUAUUGCUUGCAUUCAUCAACAUGAUAAAAGUAUUUAAUAGUUCUCAAAGCUUUUUUGUAGAUUUUUUAAAAAUUUUGUACAUAGAACAGCAUAUCAUCUGUGAUAAAAAAAAUUAUUAAAGCCCUUAUUUAUUCAACUUUUGGUACUCUCCUACUUCUUCUUCUGAGACCAGUAGACAGUAUUACACAAUUUGAUACUGUCACACUAACCAACAAGGCUCUGUUUGUUUUUAACUCUUAUUUUUCUCUAUGUUUCAUUUGGAUAUUUUAUAUUGUUUUGUUUUCAAUAUCACUAGUCUCUUCUGCAAUGUCUAAUAUGCUGUUAAUCCAAUGCAGUGUAUUUUUCAUUUUAGAUAUUGUUUUAAAUGGAUGGAACUUUAUUUGAGCCAUUCUACAUAUAUCCUAUGCCUCUCAUCAUUAUAUUCAUCUUUUUCUCUACUGUCUUAAAUGUGGUACCUAUUUAUAAAUUUUUUUUAACAUCUGUGGUUGAUAACCCUAUUAUGUUGAUAAUUCUUGGUUCUGUUUCUAGUAGUUUAUUUUUUUCCUGAAUAAGAGUCAUGUUUUUCUGCUUCUUUGCAUGCCUGUUGAAUUCUUGAUUGGGUAAUGAACAUUGUGGUUUUACAUUAUUGGGUCCAGAGUUUUAUUGUAUUCUUUUAGUGUUGGACAUUGCUUUGGUAUCCAUGUAAAUACUUUGUCACCAGUUUAAUUGUUUCCAAGCAUGCUUUUAAGCAUUUCUCUCAGAUGUAACAGUUUUUUGCUGCCUAUUGUUUACUGUCUGAAAACUGUACUUUCAUAUUUUUUGCAUACUUUUGUUUUUAUUUUUUAAUUUUAAGAUUGGAGGGAAAAUCUAUUCUCUCUUACUCUAGGAGAGGUGCAAUUUAUUGUUGUUUUAAAGCAUUUUUUUCACUUAAUAUGGGAUAAAUAUUGCUUCACGUAAAUGUGCAUUUAUGGCAUUACAUUCAAUUAAUGAUUACAUCAGAAUGUCUGGGUAUUUUAACAAUUAUCAAUUCAGAAUUUAUUUAUCUCUAGGUUAUUUAUAAUUUUCCAGAAUUAAAAAAGUUUCAAACAGCAUCAUUUAUUGAGAACGAGUUAGAAGUUGUUAUGACUUUGUAGAUAUUUAAUUAUUUCCUAUUUAUUUAAAAUUCUAAUAGCACAAUUUGAUGGAAACAGUCACUGUCAUCUUAUUUCUAUUUUCAGGGUAUUCAGAUAGCACAUUGGUAAAACUGGGUAACUAAUACAUUGGCUAAAGGGUGAUAACCAAAUGAGUUAAGUAAUGUACAAAGUCUUAAAAUGUACCUAAAGCCACUAACAUCAAUUAAGAGCAUGGAAAUAAGAGGAAAUACUUAAAAAUAUAUUUUUUAAAAUUUUAAUUCAGCUUUUACUUGACUAAGUAUAUGACACACAGAUAUUAGAGAAAAAUUUAAUACCAUUUACUGACACCAUUAUUUAAGUAUUCUUUAUUCCUUUCUGUCUGUAAUCUGUGAUGUCAGAAGCCAGGAGAGAGCCAAGAAAAUAUCUUGUAAAUGUAGAUUAUUCUAAGUAUCAAGUCACCACAGAGGUGAAAAGAGAGCCAAGUUUAAUACUUCCUUCCUCUUUUUAUAGCACCUCUCAAUUACUUCCAUGUGCAACUGAUACUUUAAAAACUUUUACCUUCAAGUAUUCACUUCUAUUUUAGCUUUUGAGAUUUGAAGUUGCUGCAUGUCAAUUUUUAGGCACCAAGAGGCUAAUAGUAGAGGAAUAAGAACAUGAUGUAAAUGAAGGUCAUAUUUCCUAGAUGUGUUAUCAUGUCAUCUCCAAAUUUAAGCAAUUUUUAUAGUUUCUUACAGUGAAUCUGUGGUAACGCUGAAAAAUAGAAUUUUAUAAUCUGGGCUCCAAUGUCUCUAUGGCUUGAAACAGAUACUGCAAAUCUUGCCUAAGGUUUUAAAAGGAAAAACAUAACCCAGAAAUGAGAUUAUAGUCUGCAGUUAUGGCAGCAUUUGAGUAGCUUUUCUUAUUUAAAAUACAGAGAAUACAAUAUUGACUGGCAUAUCACAGCUAAAAUUUUUUCUGUCAAAAGACACCCAAACAAUAAAGCAAGUUACCAGGAAACUUGUUUAAACGAAAGCCUUCAGAAAGAUAAUUGAGUAGGUGUAAAGUUGUUAAGAAGAAAAUUAAGGCAAGAAUGGAAUACUAAGGUAUCAGGGAGGUAGCAAUUGCAGAAAACAACCACCAUCUCUAGGGGUAAGGAGAACAAGUGAAUAAGUUGAAAUUAUUAAAAUUGAGAAACUUAGAGGAGGGAUCUCCAGUAUUGAAACUCAUAUCUCUGAGCGCGGAGUAUGGUUCAUCUGAUACCGUGAGCUUGGAGGAGGGAUCCGCUGGGGCUGCGACCAGACUUCUGGCAGGGAGCACUGGUUGGCUAGUGAUGGUUCUCUGAGGGCAGAAUAAUCAGGCUUAAUUGGCACGUGGUGGAAAAACUGCAAACUGGACUCAGCUGCUUCAGUGGCUAAGAACUGAUGCUGCAGGUGAAAGAAGUUGCUGAGGUGAAAUAGACAGGAACAGGAAGCGGACCGGGAGGAAUAAGUCCCUUUUUCCUCUUUCAGCUUUCCUCUCUACCUCUUGUACCUCUCAUUGGCUGAGCCUACCAUGGAGUCAGAUGGCAAUGAUGAAUGUGGGGUGCAGAGUGCCAGCACCAGCAUCACAGUUUCACAAGGAAUUGGAGACCAAGGUCCCACACUGAAAACAAGAAGUUGCUACCACUUCAAGACUGCUACUGUACCAGGGAGGUGGUGUGAUAAAGGCAAGUAAAAAAACUGAGAAUUUUUUGUCAAUUUCAACUUGCCUUUUCUUAACAUUCACUUGAUUGACACAAACAUUUGACUGUUUUUUAGAAUUUUGUCAAAGUUGUUUCUAACGAUUCAUGCUUAUUUGUUGCUUCUUCUGGGGAUGAAGGAGAGAUUGGUAUUGCCUACUCUACCAUUUUGCUGAUGUUAC